ACGCUGGCGGCGUGCCUAAUACAUGCAAGUCGAGCGGACAGAAGGGAGCUUGCUCCCGGAUGUUAGCGGCGGACGGGUGAGUAACACGUGGGUAACCUGCCUGUAAGACUGGGAUAACUCCGGGAAACCGGAGCUAAUACCGGAUAGUUCCUUGAACCGCAUGGUUCAAGGAUGAAAGACGGUUUCGGCUGUCACUUACAGAUGGACCCGCGGCGCAUUAGCUAGUUGGUGGGGUAAUGGCUCACCAAGGCGACGAUGCGUAGCCGACCUGAGAGGGUGAUCGGCCACACUGGGACUGAGACACGGCCCAGACUCCUACGGGAGGCAGCAGUAGGGAAUCUUCCGCAAUGGACGAAAGUCUGACGGAGCAACGCCGCGUGAGUGAUGAAGGUUUUCGGAUCGUAAAGCUCUGUUGUUAGGGAAGAACAAGUGCGAGAGUAACUGCUCGCACCUUGACGGUACCUAACCAGAAAGCCACGGCUAACUACGUGCCAGCAGCCGCGGUAAUACGUAGGUGGCAAGCGUUGUCCGGAAUUAUUGGGCGUAAAGGGCUCGCAGGCGGUUUCUUAAGUCUGAUGUGAAAGCCCCCGGCUCAACCGGGGAGGGU
This 607-nucleotide ribosomal RNA is filed under the name bacterium LM-031. RNAcentral describes it as "bacterial SSU rRNA". It matches the Rfam family "Bacterial small subunit ribosomal RNA", at positions 33 to 623 of the family's 1533-position model. The record is from RNAcentral.